This 939-nucleotide long non-coding RNA is filed under the name Oryctolagus cuniculus (rabbit). RNAcentral's name for it is "lncRNA (ENSOCUG00000035533.1)". Lineage: Eukaryota; Metazoa; Chordata; Mammalia; Lagomorpha; Leporidae. The record is from RNAcentral.
CCGAGGGGGACGAGACCAGGGCCCGCGGAGCGGGCGGCGUCCGCGCGUCGACCGAGAAGGCGCUGUGGAGACCGGCGUGGGACCGCCACCUGGAGCGCAGCUGCCAGCCAGAUAUGCACAGUAAUGGCACAUACAUCAGUUGCGAGUUGCUCAGAGGACUGUGAGUUGGGUGAACCGUGUCCAUCUCCAUCAAGAUGUACAGCACCAGGGCUCUUGAUGUAUAGCACCUGUGUUCUGAUUAGUGGCCAGAUGAAUAACAUUCAGAACUUCCACUAAGGUACAGUAAGAUACUUUGGUGUCAUGGAACCUGGUUUCUUUCCACAAGGAAAGUUUGGCAAACAGCGCAGUCUUUAAUACAUUGUAUUGGUUUGAUGAUCCUACCUGAUAUAGGUAUGUAAAACCUCUAAUAUAUGCUUAUCCAUCCUUUUGAAUCUAUGGGUGUUUAUCCAUGACUGUCAAUUAUUGAGUGUGUUCUAAAGAGUUAAACUUCUGUAUUAUAAGAUAAUCUUUGUCUUUUCAAACCAAGAAGAGUUUGCUCGUAAUUUGAUGUUGUGAUGGUUGAAGACCGUUCAUUUUCUUUGUCAUAUGAUAAGCCUAGAGAAUCUAUCCAAGAGAAAGGGAGAAAUUCUGUGUUCAUAUGGUUCUGAAAAUAAUGAUGUAUCUACAAAGGGAUGGAAAUCAAAUAUAUGAAACAUGACUAAUACCUUGGUUUUCUUGUAAGUGUAGUGUCUUUAGUUCAAAAUUGUGACAGAAAGCUUAUCAAUUUCUCCUACCCUCAGAAUCAUUUCAGGCUCAACUGAGUACUGCGUUAUAAGCUAAAUGACUAAGCACAUGAUUUAAUGAAUGAGUGCUUGAUCAGUAAGGAUUUGUGACAGAUUUUCUAUUGUUUAUAAUGACAUACAUAUGACAUAGAAAUAAAUACAGUAGUUAACAAUAUCA